CCCGCGCCGGCGGGCGCGGGCCCGUGGC
Molecule: non-coding RNA, 28 nt
Filed under: Alexandrium minutum
Lineage: Eukaryota; Dinophyceae; Gonyaulacales; Pyrocystaceae
Source: RNAcentral